UUAAAAAGCUCGUAGUUGGAUUUCUGUGAGAGUAUGAUGUCCUAACGUGUUUAGAGCGCAGAAAACUCUUGCAUCCUUCUGUUACCUCCACGUGGCAUUCGCUUGCCAGUGGUUGGCUCAGAGAAUUUACCUUGAGAAAAUUAGAGUGUUUCAGGCAGGCUUAGUCGGAAUACAUUAGCAUGGAAUAAUAGAAUAGGACUCCGGUCUCGUUGUUGGUUUGAGGGACUGUAGUAAUGAUUAAUAGGGAUAGUUGGGGGCAUUAGUAUUCGGUUGUCAGAGGUGAAAUUCUCAGAUUUAUUGAAGACUAACUUAUGCGAAAGCACUUGCCAAGGAUGUUUUCAUUAAUCAGAACGAAAGUUAAGGGAUCGAAGACGAUCAGAUACCGUCGUAGUCUUAACCAUAAACUAUGCCGACUAAAGAU
This 421-nucleotide ribosomal RNA is filed under the name uncultured eukaryote. RNAcentral describes it as "SSU rRNA". It matches the Rfam family "Eukaryotic small subunit ribosomal RNA", at positions 619 to 1053 of the family's 1831-position model. The record is from RNAcentral.